Molecule: ribosomal RNA, 489 nt
Filed under: uncultured bacterium
Lineage: Bacteria
Description: partial 16S ribosomal RNA
Rfam family: Bacterial small subunit ribosomal RNA
Source: RNAcentral
GACGAACGCUGGCGGCGUGCUUAACACAUGCAAGUCGAACGGUGAAGGGACCAGCUUGCUGGUUCUGGAUGAGUGGCGAACGGGUGAGUAACACGUGAGUAACCUGCCCCCUUCUUCUGGAUAACCGCAUGAAAGUGUGGCUAAUACGGGAUAUUCUGGGUCUGUCGCAUGGCGGGCCCGGGAAAGAUAUUGCUUCGGUGGGGGAUGGGCUCGCGGCCUAUCAGCUUGUUGGUGGGGUGAUGGCCUACCAAGGCGGUGACGGGUAGCCGGCCUGAGAGGGUGGACGGUCACACUGGGACUGAGACACGGCCCAGACUCCUACGGGAGGCAGCAGUGGGGAAUAUCGCACAAUGGGCGCAAGCCUGAUGCAGCGACGCCGCGUGAGGGAGGGAGGCCUUCGGGUUGUAAACCUCUUUCGCCAGUGAAGCAGGCCUGCUCCUUGUGGGUGGGUUGACGGUAGCUGGAUAAGAAGCGCCGGCUAACUACGUG